AUAGGGAGAAACAGCUGGGAGAGGUGUAAUAGGAAAUAUGUCUUUAGGGAGAAACAGCUGGGAGAGGUGUAAUAGGAAAUAUGUCUUUAGGGAGAAACAGCUGGGAGAGGUGUAAUAGGAAAUAUGUCUUUAGGGAGAAACAGCUGGGAGAGGUGUAAUAGGAAAUAUGUCUUUAGGGAGAAACAGCUGGGAGAGGUGUAAUAGGAAGUAUGUCUUUAGGGAGAAACAGCUGGGAGAGGUGGGACAUGGGCAACAAUUGCAAACUAUUUCCUUUAAAGGAUAGUUUAUCCUCUUUCUACACACUCAUUCACAAACAUCCCAAUGUAGUGUGUCACAAUAUUUUUUAAGUCUGAAAUCUUGACACAAAUAAAAUGUAAAAAGCUAAGUUGUCUAGAAGACGUUUCAAUAAAUAAUGCUCUGUCUAGAACACCUGUUUCUCUUGUUUGUACAUUUUUAAUAAAUCGAUCAAAAACA
Oncorhynchus tshawytscha (Chinook salmon) is the source of this 474-nucleotide long non-coding RNA. RefSeq lists it as uncharacterized. Lineage: Eukaryota; Metazoa; Chordata; Actinopteri; Salmoniformes; Salmonidae. The record is from RefSeq and is a predicted model, not a curated record. The transcript is spliced from 2 exons.